CCUACGGGAGGCAGCAGUGGGGAAUAUUGCACAAUGGGCGCAAGCCUGAUGCAGCCAUGCCGCGUGUGUGAAGAAGGCCUUCGGGUUGUAAAGCACUUUCAGCGGGGAGGAAGGCGUUAAGGUUAAUAACCUUGUCGAUUGACGUUACCCGCAGAAGAAGCACCGGCUAACUCCGUGCCAGCAGCCGCGGUAAUACGGAGGGUGCAAGCGUUGAUCGGAAUUACUGGGCGUAAAGCGCACGCAGGCGGUCUGUCAAGUCGGAUGUGAAAUCCCCGGGCUCAACCUGGGAACUGCAUUCGAAACUGGCAGGCUAGAGUCUUGUAGAGGGGGGUAGAAUUCCAGGUGUAGCGGUGAAAUGCGUAGAGAUCUGGAGGAAUACCGGUGGCGAAGGCGGCCCCCUGGACAAAGACUGACGCUCAGGUGCGAAAGCGUGGGGAGCAAACAGGAUUAGAUACCCCAGUAGUC
RNAcentral lists this ribosomal RNA (465 nucleotides) under uncultured Klebsiella sp. Its description in RNAcentral is "bacterial SSU rRNA". It matches the Rfam family "Bacterial small subunit ribosomal RNA", at positions 338 to 795 of the family's 1533-position model. Lineage: Bacteria; Pseudomonadati; Pseudomonadota; Gammaproteobacteria; Enterobacterales; Enterobacteriaceae. The record is from RNAcentral.